UAAAUACUCCCGCCGUCCUAAAAUUCUUAUCUUAGAAUUGUCUAGAAAUGGAUGUAUCUAAAUACUAAUACAUGACUAUAUACAUUCAUAUCUAGACAAAUCAAAGACAAGAAUUUUGGGACGGAGGGAGUAUUAC
Hordeum vulgare subsp. vulgare (domesticated barley) is the source of this 136-nucleotide non-coding RNA. Lineage: Eukaryota; Viridiplantae; Streptophyta; Magnoliopsida; Poales; Poaceae. The record is from Rfam.